AACGUACGCUGGCGGCACGCCUAACACAUGCAAGUCGAACGAAGUAGCAAUACUUAGUGGCAGACGGGUGAGUAACAUGUGGGUAUNUACCCUUUGGCCUGGAAUAACACGAGGAAACUUGUGCUAAUACCGGAUAAGUCUUUACGGAGAAAGCUUUAUGCACCAUUGGAUGAGCCCGCACUUGAUUAGUUUGUUGGUAGGGUAAUGGCCUACCAAGACUAUGAUCAAUAGCUGAUUUGAGAGGAUGAUCAGCCACAUUGGGACUGAGACACGGCCCAAACUCCUACGGGAGGCAGCAGUGGGGAAUCUUGCACAAUGGAGGAAACUCUGAUGCAGCGAUGCCGCGUGAGUGAAGAAGGCCUUUGGGUUGUAAAGCUCUUUCGUCGGGGAAGAAAAUGACUGUACCCGAAUAAGAAGGUCCGGCUAACUUCGUGCCAGCAGCCGCGGUAAUACGAAGGGACCUAGCGUAGUUCGGAAUUACUGGGCUUAAAGAGUUCGUAGGUGGUUGAAAAAGUUGGUGGUGAAAUCCCAGAGCUUAACUCUGGAACUGCCAUCAAAACUUUUCAGCUAGAGUAUGAUAGAGGAAAGCAGAAUUUCUAGUGUAGAGGUGAAAUUCGUAGAUAUUAGAAAGAAUACCAAUUGCGAAGGCAGCUUUCUGGAUCAUUACU
RNAcentral lists this ribosomal RNA (668 nucleotides) under bacterium IMCC11029. RNAcentral describes it as "bacterial SSU rRNA". It matches the Rfam family "Bacterial small subunit ribosomal RNA", at positions 28 to 741 of the family's 1533-position model. The record is from RNAcentral.